Molecule: ribosomal RNA, 440 nt
Filed under: uncultured bacterium
Lineage: Bacteria
Description: partial 16S ribosomal RNA
Rfam family: Bacterial small subunit ribosomal RNA
Source: RNAcentral
CCUACGGGAGGCAGCAGUGGGGAAUAUUGCACAAUGGGGGAAACCCUGAUGCAGCGACGCCGCGUGAGCGAUGAAGUAUUUCGGUAUGUAAAGCUCUAUCAGCAGGGAAGAAAAUGAUGGUAGCUGAUUACGAAGAACCGGCGAACUACGUGCCAGCAGCCGCGGUGAUACGUAGGGGGCAAGCGUUAUCAGGAUUUACUGGGUGGAAAGGGAGCGUAGAAGGCUGUGCAAGCCAGAUGUGAAAGCCCGGGGCUCAACACCGGGACUGCAUUUGAAACUGUGUGGCUGGAGUGUCGGAGAGGCAAGCGGAAUUACUAGGGUAGCGGUGAAAUGCGUAGAUAUUAGGAGGAACACCAGUGGCGAAGGCGGCCUGCUGGACGAUGACUGACGCUGAGGCGCGAAAGCGUGGGGAGCAAACAGGAUUAGAUACCCGGGUAGUC